Molecule: ribosomal RNA, 1000 nt
Filed under: uncultured bacterium
Lineage: Bacteria
Also listed under: 1 other name
Description: bacterial SSU rRNA
Rfam family: Bacterial small subunit ribosomal RNA
Source: RNAcentral
GGGGGAUAUUGCGCAAUGGGGGCAACCCUGACGCAGCAACGCCGCGUGAAGGAUGAAGGUUUUCGGAUUGUAAACUUCUUUUAUUAAGGACGAAAAAUGACGGUACUUAAUGAAUAAGCUCCGGCUAACUACGUGCCAGCAGCCGCGGUAAUACGUAGGGAGCAAGCGUUGUCCGGAUUUACUGGGUGUAAAGGGUGCGUAGGCGGCUUUGCAAGUCAGAUGUGAAAUCUAUGGGCUCAACCCAUAAACUGCAUUUGAAACUGUAGAGCUUGAGUGAAGUAGAGGCAGGCGGAAUUCCCCGUGUAGCGGUGAAAUGCGUAGAGAUGGGGAGGAACACCAGUGGCGAAGGCGGCCUGCUGGGCUUUAACUGACGCUGAGGCACGAAAGCGUGGGUAGCAAACAGGAUUAGAUACCCUGGUAGUCCACGCUGUAAACGAUGAUUACUAGGUGUGGGGGGUCUGACCCCUUCCGUGCCGGAGUUAACACAAUAAGUAAUCCACCUGGGGAGUACGGCCGCAAGGUUGAAACUCAAAGGAAUUGACGGGGGCCCGCACAAGCAGUGGAGUAUGUGGUUUAAUUCGAAGCAACGCGAAGAACCUUACCAGGUCUUGACAUCCAACUAACGAAGUAGAGAUACAUUAGGUGCCCUUCGGGGAAAGUUGAGACAGGUGGUGCAUGGUUGUCGUCAGCUCGUGUCGUGAGAUGUUGGGUUAAGUCCCGCAACGAGCGCAACCCUUGCUAUUAGUUGCUACGCAAGAGCACUCUAAUAGGACUGCCGUUGACAAAACGGAGGAAGGUGGGGACGACGUCAAAUCAUCAUGCCCCUUAUGACCUGGGCUACACACGUACUACAAUGGAUGUUAACAGAGGGAAGCAAGACAGCGAUGUGGAGCAAACCCCUAAAAACAUUCUCAGUUCAGAUUGCGGGCUGCAACCCGCCUGCAUGAAGAUGGAAUUGCUAGUAAUCGCGGAUCAGCAUGCCGCGGUGAAUACGUUCCCG